CUUCACCUCUUCAAAUUAUUCUCCCUAACCCACAAGUUCUUGAAAAGUUUAAGGUCACUCAGGCCCUAUUGGCAAGGCAAGGUCUAGGUGUGGUCACAUCUUGGAGAUGUAGUCACAUAUUGACAAGCCGGGAGAGUUGGGUGUCAAAGUCUUGAGAAAGUUGGUGGUUCAACUACUUUCUAAGUCACAUAGUGAGUUCUUUUGGAACACCUAUGAAAAAGACUAUGACAAGACCCUUAAUGAUCUUAUCUAUUUGUUAAGAUCAACUUCCUAAAACUUUAUGGACAUUGACAAUGAUGACAUUGGAUAUCCAGUAAAGCAUUCUCUUCCCAAUGGAAAGGGAUCGGCUAUAGUCAACUCGGUUGACCAAAUGGUAAAGAGAAAAGCUAAGUCUGUGAUAGUCCUGUGUACCAUUAUCAAAGGGUCCAUAUGUUUGUAUUGCCAAAGAAAGGGCAUUGGUUGCGAAGCUGCCAAAUUUACCUAAGGAUGUUAAAGUCAAUAAGUUUGACUCUACUUCAGGUAAAAUCCACUAUCUAACUCUGUUAAGUUUCUAUUCUGAGAUUCUUGAUACAUGAUGUGACCGGGUCGCAUGGUGAUGGUUUAAGAAUCAAAGGAAAGUGAAGAAACUUAAAGGAAGAAUAUGCUGAAUCUGAUCGCAUAGAUGGAUUUCUAUCGCAUAGUUUGAAAAAUCGGAUUCUUGAGCUACUUCUUAGGAGUUAUGAGAUAUUGCUUAGGAAUAGAUAACAACAAGUUUUCAUAUGGAUUGUAAGGAUAGUUUUUCCGCAAAGUUUUAAAAUAAAAGGAAAUUUUUGAUUUUAUUUAUUUUAAAAUAUCCUUACAAUGGCAUCUGUGGAAAUUUUUGUUGCUUAUAAGAUUCCAUUAGUAGCAAGAGUGGAAGUAUGAAAUUGAUUCUUUCAUUUGUGGUAAUGUCUAAAUUUACCAAAUAAGGAAAGAUUCUCAUCACCCAAGUUUCAAUUGGACCGGAACUUGGAAUCAUGCAAGUUGUAUAGCAUGAUGAAUGAGAACUUUCAAGUUUUGGAAAAUUAAGACUAAUUACUUGUUCACAUGGAUGUGUGAGUCAAGUAAAGGACUUAGGGAUCGAGUACACAUUCUUGUGCACUGAUUAAGUCCACCACUAAAGAUCGAUAAGAAGAAUCAAAUAAGGCAGAAGGAUAAAAGUUUCUCAAAUCUGAAAAGAUGGGAGAGUACUUUAGUAUCAGUUUUGUGAUCAUCUUAAUGAUUAAGAAACCAUAUCAAAAUUAGUUCUCUAAGGAAAUCUUAGUGCAUUCUUAUGACUAAGAAGAGGAACUUGAAUUGUUGAAAUGGUUAAAUCAAGAAGAUGAGUCAUACUUCGUUCCAAUACAAGUCUUAGAGUCAUACUCCAAGAUUGUCAUUUGAGUGACAUGUCUUAAAGAAGGUUUAAAACACUUGUCAAAUGUAAGAGUAAAAGUUUUCUACUCUUGUACAUUUGAAAUUGGUAAGUUGUGAUGUUUUGGAUAAAACAAAGACCAACUUAGGCCAAUUGGGUAAAGUGUUUUUCUUGAUUAGAAUCCGCACUAUCUCUUGGAUGUUUGACAAGGGAGUCUUAUAUGUCAAGAGGACAGUGGGAGUCUUAAAGGUCUUGAAAGUCUCAAGAAAUAAUCAAGAAUAAAACCUAAAGUUCUUCACUAGCACACGACUUGAGGUUCAUAACCUAUCGUGUUGACAUAUUCUGUGCCCAUUCCAGUUAAAGUUGGUUUUGCAUAUGAGUUCUUAGAGUUCUCAAUUUGUUGCACAACAACUUGGAAGCAAUGGCAGGCCCUUGAGCUGCCAGGUGGCAAGAAGUUAAGAUUGAGUUCAAUCCAUAUGGUUUUGGAUUUGUCAUUAUCUUUGUCUUGUGAUUAUGGUUUGACAAAUUCAUAUGGGUAGGAACUCAUACACCAUAUAAAUCUAAGUGUCAUAAGGUUUCUCUCCGAUUCAUGAAAAUGAUGGUGAGGAAACGCUUUCACUAAGUAGAUUUUACGAAGAUAUCAAUUGUGUUAUUUGCAUUUUCAAAAGUCGUUAGUGGAGCGCGUGUGGUUAACCGGCACACUAACAUGGACUUGUGAGAAAUGGCAAAUGCCUAAGCAAUUGAGACCAUGAUUACGGUAUCCCUUUUCAUGGUUCUUGAAAUUGCUUAGACACACAGGUGAGCUAUCUACGGAAAGGGUGUAUGAAUCUAAAUUUCAGACUGUCCAGCUGAUUUCUGAGUACAUGUCAAAGCUAGUGGGAGCAUAAGUGUUAUGCUAAUAAUCAUCAUGUUAGUGGGAGCAUGAUAAUUAUGAUAAGUAUUGCAAGUUAGCAAUGUUAAUUAUAGAAAACAAAAGUUUCAAUUGGGAAAAAGUUGUUUUGCUAUAAUUAAGGGAGAGGAAAUUAUGCUUCAUCUCAAAUCUAUAAGCUUAGAUCGUGAGGUUUUAAUCAUUUAGUCAAGGAUAUAUAUGAAUUUCAUGUUGGAAUGGCUCAACAUAAGGAAAUUCUGUAUAUGGGUCCAUUAUUUGCGUUCUAAAAUUCGAUUAUGAUUACGGCAUCCCUUUUCAUAAUCUGAAUUAUGAGAACUUGGCAAAUUGAAAUGGAAAUAUUAUAGCAAAAGACUGGUUUAGUCUUUAUGUAAGACAUCAUGAAUCGUGUCCCAUAUGCUUCGGAUAUAGGAUCGAUUACAUGUGCUAUAUUCAUCCGUUCUAAAAUUUUCCAAAUGCCUGGGGCAUUAAGAAGGGAAAAGGUUUAGAACUGGAUAUGACUAAAAGGAUUAAACAAUUGUCGAGGACAAUCUAAGGUUUACCAAAGAUUGGUUACUCAAGGACAAUUGGAAGUAUAGUGAUAAUUCUGGAAGGACCAUAUUGACAUAAUCUGUAAGGAGGCAACUCUUGUUCAGAAGUGAUAGUCAAAAUGGAAUCUGGAAAUGUUUCAAAGUUAGAAUUUUCAAUCUGUGUAAGAUUAAGGAAACUUAAUGCAAGAAGGAUAUUUCCAAGGAGUUGAUCUCCUUUGGAAUACUCUGUAAUGAUUGUUGCCAAGUCUUUGUGACUUUGUGCAUAAUCAUUACAAGAGGAUCAAUGCAUAUAAGUUUAGAAUCUAACAGAUUUCAGUAAAUGGCAUGAAUUUGGAAUUCUUGCAUUUGCAGUAAGGAUUUGGGAGUGUGAAAAGAGAAUCAUUGAAGUUAUGUUCAAUUGAUCUAGUUCACAAAGUAAAGAUCAUAGACAAACAUAGUAUGCAUACUUGGUGUGUGGCAUGACUAGUGUUUAAGAAAACAUAGUGUACAUGCUUGGAGCAUGGGACAACUAUUGUUUUAAAUUCAAGAAUAAAGUUGAUAGCUGAAACAGUAUACAAUGAAUAAUGUGUAAUCAUAUGGUGAUAAAUAAAAGGUGUUUUAUUUAUGUUCAAAGGGUUGAUACCAUAUUGGAUUCAAUUAUUAUUGUGUUUCAUUUUGCAUGUUUUGACUUCCCGAAUAAACUGGGUUAUUCUUCCGGAAUGACUAAGUUAUUCAAACCAUCCACAGUCGGUCAUAUGUUGGAAGUAGAUAUGAAUUAAGACUGUCAUGGGUUGGCUUGUAGAGGUCUAAGGUGUUGGACAAAGGGCUACAACACUCAUGAGUGCUCAUAAGUUCUGAGUAUUGGAUUCAACCCGCGCUCAUUGGAAUCACUUCAUGGAUUUUAUCACGAGUGAUCAUGAGACGAUAAUAUCUUAUAUUCUUCAAACCUAGAGAUAUGAGUUGUUACUAUGAGUUGAUAGUACAUUGAUUGCACGAAAACGCAUUUGGUAACUCGGUGCUAUAAAACGUGCCUUUGUGUAUGAUUCAACAAGUAGUAGAACAAGCCAUAUGAGUCGAAGUUUAUCCAUUCCUUUUACCUUCGGGAUAAAAGCGAUAUCUGUGGGCCCCUCGAUGAUUUGAUGAUGACAAAUGGAAGUGCUCGGCCGGGCCAGGACUGAUUUGAUUUGUUCAAUUAGUCAGUCGUCAUAAAUCGGAAAUCGGGAAACAACAAAUGGACAGAGAGAAUGAUUAUAAUCCAUGUCUCAGUCCAUAUGAUAUCUAGAAUGGAGGAAUAUAUGAUCCCUUAUCUAAUGGACAAGUCAUUGACAAAGGUCAGAGUUCAUCUACAAGGUCAGAGUUCGACAGAAGCUUUUGAGAGCUACGAUUGCCAGUUGGUUCCUGAAGUCAUACGCAAUAAUAGUUUUAGACUUAUCCAAGUGGGAGACUGUUGGAUUAAUGUCUAAGUCCAUAACUAUAAUUGGUAAGACUUGACCCGACCCGGCAUGGUCCAUUUGGGUUGCAUACCAUCAUGCACUUGGAUAGACUAUAAUGAGAGAAAUAAGACACUUAUGGUUAUUAAUAUAUUAUAAGUUCUAGUAUAUUAAUAAUAAGAAUAAUAAGAUUAUUUAAUUAGUAUUGAUCAAGAAUUAAUCUAGGAUUAAUUAAGUGAUCAAAAGAAGACUAAUUAAAUAUAUGGGUUGAUUGUGUAAAUCAUCCAUACUUGUAUAGUGGGCUAAUGCUCCAUGGAUAAUCAAGUUGGGCUAAAACCCAUAGGAUGGUCCAUGGAUGCUCCAUGGUGUAUUUGUACCCAUGGAUCCAAGGAAAUGGAAAGCCAUGACAAUUAAGAGUUUACCCUAAUUGUGUAACUAUAUAAGCAUCUUAUUAUUGAGGAAAAAUCGGCCACUAGUGAUAGUGAAGAAAGGGCUAGCCGAUUUUGAAGAGUGUAGAAUUCUCUCAAGUCAUUCCAAGUGUUUUGAUGAUUGUGAUUCCAUUUGAGGUGUCACACUUGGGGCACUAGGCACUCAAGCUUCAUGAAGACUUUCUACAUCAAAGAGGUAUGUAUUCUAUCUUGUUAUAGUCAUUGUUUUGUAUGCUAGAUUAGGAUAAUACCUUGGAAGUUCUUAUUUGCAUGUAUAAUAGAGAAAACAUAGAUCCAAGGUAUUUAGGGUUGCAUGUACACUUAGGAGUGUUAGAAUGCUCAAAACCCAACAGUGGUAUCAGAGCCUAGGCUUGUUUUCUUGUUAUACCUGCAAUAGAAGCUGAAAAAACGAAUCUGGUGCUGUCUGGCCAUCAGACUCGGCGAGUCCAUCAGGAGACUCGACGAGUCCAUGCCUAAAAAGUGAUGAAUUCGAUCCAACUCGCCGAGUUUGUUCAUGCACUCGACGAGUUGGACCCCCAGACAGCAUAUUUUCGAGUUUUUUGGCUAGAAAUGGACUAGGAACAUUACCCUAAGUUGUUUUUGAACUUAUAAACUUGUUUUUGAUGUGGUAAUGUUCAUGCUAAUCCAUUUUCAAAGAUAAUUGUCAAUAGAUUCAUGUUUUGUAUUAGUUUAAGGUUUAGACUAAUUACAUGAAAAAGUUUGAUUUGAAUUAUCUUGUUCUUAUGAGUUGCUUAGAUUAAUAGAAAUGUUGAGUGAAAUAGUUGUUUUCAAUCCAUUUUAAUCUAAGAGUUGAGUAUAAAAUGUGUUUGUGUAACUUGUCCUCAAGUUACAUGAAGAGUCACAUUAAAGACUCAUAAAACUCAUAAAAGUUGGCAAUGGUUACAAAAUGAAGAGUCUUGUGUCAUUGAAUAAUUUUUUUUGACUCCAUAACUUGUCCUCAAGUUAUGGAAGUUCAAGAGUCACUUCAUUAAAGAAAAAUAUGUAACCAUAAUUAAAUCCAUAAGUUAUAAAAUAAAGAAAAAGUUAGUUCUUUUAUUAGUUUAAAGUCUUCCAUAACUUGUCCUCAAGUUAUGGAACUUGAAGAGUUUUUGGAUUAAAACUACUUUAAACACAUAAGUUAUGGAAUUAAUUAGUUUUGAAUAGUUUCAAAACUUGCCCUCAAGUUUUGGAAUUUGAAAAGUUUUCAAGUAUGAAUACUUUAAUUCCAAGUUAGCCCUUAGAAUUUUAAAAGUUAAAAUUCAACCCUUAUACUUUAUAAUAUUAUAAGUUAAUAAUAUAUAUAUGUAUAAGAGUAAAGUCAGUCUUACCGCUAGUACGCCUCAUUCACGAAGCCGGUCUAUAAGGUGGGUAUAAGGUUGUUGCCUAUAAAAUGGCAACUUAAUGGGUGUCCACUCUCACCCACCGCUUGCUUGACUGGUGGAGGGUCGUUAGCCGAACGGGUUUGACAGGACUAGAAUUCUCCCUUCAUUAAAAGUAUUAAUGAUAAUACUAAGUAACUAAACUCUUAAUAAUACCCAAUCUUAGUUACUUAGGAAAAAUGUGAAUAAGGUGCUAAUCCAUGAAAUUACACUUUACACUUUGUCUAAGUCGUUAGUGGAGCGUGUGUGGUUAACCGGCACACUAACUUGGACUUAACAAGGUAGGUAAAGGGUGACUUAAUAUUUAUCAUAGUAUCGAUGGAGCGUGUGUGGUUAACCGGCACAUCGAUUGAGGGGUAAUUUAUUAAGGGUACCAAGUGAUUUGCAUGGUUACUUCACACCUUGUUUUGUGAUCCUCGGCAUCCCAGUCACAAAACCUGAAGGGCACACUCGAGAUUGAAACAUGCCUUUGAAAAGUUCAAUGAAUCUCAAAGAUCUAGGAGUUUCAAAACCAAUUAAAACCUAAUAAUACAUUUCGUUUAUCUUGGUGGAAAUUGGUGAAUCGUCAUUCACCUACCUUCAAAUAUUUUAUAGCUUGGAUUACGGCAUACCUCUUCUAAGUUAUAAAAUAGUUUGUUGGGUCCUAGCCUUAAUAUUUCAUAUUGGGUGUCAUAUUAAGGACUUAAGAUCAACUAUCUUGAAUAUCUCCCAAAAGAUGUCUGGUUUAGACAUUUAUGAUCUUCCCAAAUCUCUUGAAACAAGCUUUCCUAAAUGAAGAUUAUGUCCCUUGGAAAUCAUACUUCAUUCACCUCCUCCAACUACUCUCCCCAACCCACAAGUUUUUGAAAAGUUUAAGGUCACUCAAGCCCAAUUGGUAAGGCCAGGACUAGGUGUGGUCACGUCUUGGAGAUGUAGUCACAUAUUGAUAAGCCGGGAGAGUUGGGUGUCAAAGUCUUGAGAAAGUUGGUGGUUCAAUCACUUUCUAAGUCACAUAGUGAGUUCCUUUGGGACACCUAUGAAACAGACUAUGACAAGACCCUUAAUGAUCUUAUCUAUUUGUUAAGAUCAACUUCCUUAAAACUUGAUGGACAUUGACAAUAGUGACAUAGGAAAUCCAGGAAAGCAUUCUCUUCCCAAUGGAAAGGGAUCGGCCAUAGUCAACUCAUUUGACCAAAUGGUAAAGAGAAAAGCUAAGUCUGUGAUAGUCCCGUGUACCAUUAUCAAAGGGUCCAUAUGUUUAUAUUGCCAAAGGAAGGGGCAUUGGUUGCGAAGCUGCCAAAUUUACCUAAGGAUGUUAAAGUCAAUAAGUUUGACUCUACUUCAGGUAAAGUCCACUAUCUAACUCUGUUAAGUUUCUAUUCUGAGAUUCUUGAUACAUGAUGUGACUGGGUCACAUGGUGAUGUUUUAAGAAUCAAAGAAAAGUGAAGAAACUUAAAGAAAGAAUAUGUUGAAUCUGAUGGCGUAGAUGGAUUUCUAUCGCAUAGUUUGAAGAUCGGAUUCUUGAGCUACUUCUUAGGAGUUAUGAGAUAUUGCAUAGGAAUAGAUAAC
RNAcentral lists this long non-coding RNA (7550 nucleotides) under Lactuca sativa (garden lettuce). Its description in RNAcentral is "long non-coding RNA (LSAT_LNC003113)". Lineage: Eukaryota; Viridiplantae; Streptophyta; Magnoliopsida; Asterales; Asteraceae. The record is from RNAcentral.